UACGAAGGGGGGCGAGCGUUGUUCGGAUUUACUGGGCGUAAAGGGCGCGCAGGCGGCGCAUUUUGUCAGGCGUGAAAGCCCCGGGCUUAACCUGGGAACUGCGUUUGAUACGGAUGGGCUAGAGUUCGGGAGAGGAGAGUGGAAUUCCCAGUGUAGAGGUGAAAUUCGUAGAUAUUCGGAAGAACACCAGUGGCGAAGGCGGCUCACUGGACUGGUAUUGACGCUGAGGUGCGAAAGCGUGGGGAGCAAACAGG
Molecule: ribosomal RNA, 254 nt
Filed under: uncultured bacterium
Lineage: Bacteria
Description: partial 16S ribosomal RNA
Rfam family: Bacterial small subunit ribosomal RNA
Source: RNAcentral